GACCCGCUUCUUGUGGAAAGUCAAUAUGCAAAAGUUAAUUUAAGAUGAUCUGUGAAUACAGAAGUUUGUUAUUAGUAUCUUUUGUGACAAUAGAAUCUGUUCGCGGAUGCUCGCAGUUGAGGACCUUCUUUUUUGCCUCUUUGAUAUUAUUUUAUUAUCAGACUUUCAUCGCUGUGGCGGUAUUGCUGAACACCAACUGCAAGGAGCUAGAAGGAUCUUGUGUAAAGAAAAAUAAGUGGACAAAGUAGGAAUUUUAUCAAGUCGAAAAUGUCACAAACUAUCUAUGUAUUAUAAUAUUUGUAUUGUCAAAAAAGCAAGGACUGCAAGAGCAUCACAAUCGCAAUUAACACUUAUGAUAAAUUAUUUUUACUUAAACAUGGGUCUCGCAGAAGGAAAAUUUAAUAGUUUGCAUGGAAAAGAAAUGCCAAAGAAGUGGAUCGAACUAACAGAAGAAUUAAAUUCAUACCAAAGAGCAGUAAAAACCGUUGAGCAGUGGCAAGUGGUUAAGUUGAAGAGACUUAAAAAGUCGUACUUCAAUUAAAGUACGAGAUUUAUGUAAAGCAAAAGCAUUAACAGGGAAUAAAGAUAUAAUGCAAUCGGAAUUGACAGAACUUGAAAAACGUAUAAUUGGAUUAAUAGGGCCCGAGUACGCGGAAGGAAAUAAAUUUUGUGCAGAGAAUAUCCCUGAGGAGGAGGAUUUCCUGGAAGAAUUGGAACAUGGAAACAAAACAACUUUAUCCAAAACUCCACAAGUAAUAAGCAUUUGUACGGAUAUAUCACAGAAAAUUUCUCAAGAUUCACAAUAUUUAGAUGUUAAUAUAGAUGAUGUAAAUGUUAUUCCAAACAAUUAUUCACAGAAUAAAAACUUAUUCGAUGUUGAUGAAAAUGGAAACUCUGAUGUUGCUAAGGAUUUUGAAAACUAUGGAUCAAGGACUCAAAAGGCUGCUUCGUCCUCAUCUCUUAGGACAAAUAGGAAUACUCCAUAUCCCCUUGUAGCAAAACCAGCAAGACAGUCAAAAAGUCUUUCAGAAAAUAUGCAUUCUCCAAGACGAUUGAUAAGAGGUAAUUGGGCUCGAUCGUCUGAAUUGUCUUCAACAAAGGAACAGUUUCCAUUGCUCAGAAGCAGGCUGAAUGGUAAGACACUGAUGCUGAAAUGAUGCAUGCUGAAUCUGCUAAAAUUCAAGCAGAAGUAUCUAAGACAAAUGCACAAGCAAUGACUGAAAUUGCACAUGCUGUACAAAAAUUGGCAGAUACUGCUGCUGUACAAGCAAUUAACGACAGUAAACGCAUACGAGUUUUUGAGAAACUUACAGUUUUACAGUUUUAGAAAACUUAUUGCCUACUUAUCUGAAGGAUUAGUACAACAAAUGAAAGAUUGAAGUACUUACUGAUGCUAAACAGUUCCUAACAAAUUAGACGAAGUACUACUACGA
Harpegnathos saltator (Jerdon's jumping ant) is the source of this 1433-nucleotide RNA transcript. RefSeq lists it as uncharacterized. Lineage: Eukaryota; Metazoa; Arthropoda; Insecta; Hymenoptera; Formicidae. The transcript has 8 exons. The record is from RefSeq and is a predicted model, not a curated record.